UACGUAGGGGGCAAGCGUUGUCCGGAUUUAUUGGGCGUAAAGAGCGUGUAGGCGGUUCGGUAGGUCCGUUGUGAAAACUCGAGGCUCAACCUCGAGACGCCGGUGGAAACCAUCAGGCUAGAGUCCGGAAGAGGAGAGUGGAAUUCCUGGUGUAGCGGUGAAAUGCACAGAUAUCAGGAAGAACACCCGUGGCUAAGGCGGCUCUCUAGUACGGUACUGACGCUGAGACGCGAAAGCGUGGGGAGCGAACAGG
This 253-nucleotide ribosomal RNA is filed under the name uncultured bacterium. Its description in RNAcentral is "partial 16S ribosomal RNA". It matches the Rfam family "Bacterial small subunit ribosomal RNA", at positions 524 to 776 of the family's 1533-position model. The record is from RNAcentral.